This 301-nucleotide ribosomal RNA is filed under the name uncultured bacterium. Its description in RNAcentral is "partial 16S ribosomal RNA". It matches the Rfam family "Bacterial small subunit ribosomal RNA", at positions 509 to 808 of the family's 1533-position model. The record is from RNAcentral.
CAGCAGCCACGGUAAUACGUAGGUGGCAAGCGUUGUCCGGAAUUAUUGGGCGUAAAGCGCGUGCAGGCGGAUAGGUCAGUCUGUCUUAAAAGUUCGGGGCUUAACCCCGUGAUGAGAUGGAAACUGCCAAUCUAGAGUAUCGGAGAGGAAAGUGGAAUUCCUAGUGUAGCGGUGAAAUGCGUAGAUAUUAGGAAGAACACCAACGGCGAAAGCACUCUGCUGGGCCGACACUGACACUGAGAGACGAAAGCUAGGGGAGCAAAUGGGAUUAGAUACCCGUGUAGUCCCUGUCUCUUAUACA